Non-coding RNA from Salvelinus sp. IW2-2015, 639 nucleotides. Lineage: Eukaryota; Metazoa; Chordata; Actinopteri; Salmoniformes; Salmonidae. The record is from RefSeq and is a predicted model, not a curated record.
GAGCCRCRACGUUUUKUUCAGCAGAAUAGGACCCAUCUGUGGCUAUGAAGACAAAACAAUUUCACUGGAAUCAUCUUUGCUCAUGCUUUUGCCAUUGUUCAUCAUUGGCAUUGUGGCCUUUGUAGUCUUUGUGACAAUAAGGCUCUGCAAGAGAAGUAUGCGGGAAAGAAACUUGUCCAAUUUUCCAAAGACUUUGGCUUCAAWCCUAUCAAACCCACAUAACAAGAAUAUAAUGAACCUGCCAUGCGAGAUCAUAGCGCACAUAGAAYCAGCUACCACCACAUCCCAGAGCAUGUUGGAAACUUCAGAAGAGGAAGAGGAGGAACCGACCACUAGCGUUGGAUUUCCAGCUUACCUUCAAUACUCCAUUAGUUCUGGGCAGGUAGGAGAGAGCUUAUUGGACAGUAGAAGCCAAUUACGGUCUAAGCUUCUGGAGGUGACACAGCCAUGCUCUGUGCUGCUGUGUGGAGAUGACUCAGAGGAAUCAGACUCAAGGACAUUGGAGGUGGAGGACAUGGAUUUCACAGCCUCUGGCUAUGACAGUCAACACAUUCCUCUACUGGAGGUGGAGAUGAGUGCAGGAGAUGUAGUGGUGGGCUAUGGCCCCACCUGAGCACCUCUGAACUCAGGCCUCUGUAA